UACGUUGGCGGGCGGAGCGCCUUCCUACACCUCAAAAGGUCUUCUUGGGCGGAGGAGGUGCCGUGUGAAGGGAUUGUAUCAGGCUGUCUGCACCUUGGGGCUUUUCCGUGUUGAAGCCAUGGUAUCCCUGUUCCUUGAAGAAACAGCUGAGGCGGGGAGCGGCAGCAGGCGGAGCGGUUACUGUGACGGGAAACUGUUGGUGUAACACCCCAAGCGCCUAAUGACUGGGUUAUAUUUAGAAUCAGUUUGGAAUCCAGAUUAAACAAAGAUGUUUUGCCAUUGGUUGACAGUAAGGAGGUUAUAUUUCAAGAAACUACAAUUGCAGGCAAGAGCAUUAUCUGGGGCUGAUGCUAUAAAUGCUCUGCGACCAUUCUAUUUUGCAGUACAUCCAGAUUUUUUUGGUCAGCAUCCCAGAGAAAGGGAAAUCAAUGAAAAUUCUCUGAAAAGAUUAAAUGGGUAUUUGGAGAAUCUCCAGAAACCAGGCUUCAGGUCAUUUAAACCAACUCGACUCACUUUUUAUGUACGAGAGAGAGAACAAAGCCCUUCCAGUGUCCAAGAAUCAUUUGGUGCUGCAGGAUUUCGAGCAGUGAGUUUUACUUUGCAUACCAGAGACUUGUUAAGCACAGUAUUAGAUAUCUUGAACUCCUGCAGUUUAUCUACGGAUCAUGUCCAAAGCUUGAACAGCAGUGUAAAUACUCAGGAAACCAAAAGAAUGUUUCACAGGCCUAUUAAAUGGGACAAGACAUACUAUUCUUUUACUGGAUUCAAGGAUCCUGAGGAAGAACUGGAGCAAGCCCAGAGGAUGGAAACCACCCUGAGCUCCUGGUUAGAUAAUAAUGAAAAAAGUGCCACAAAGAAGCUGGAGGACAGCUUACCACUCAGAAAAGAAUUAGAUCGUUUGAAAAACGAACUGUGUCAGCAGUUGCAGCUCUCUGAUAUUAGGUGGCAGAGGAGUUGGGGUAUUGCUCAUCGAUGUAGCCAGUUACAUAGCCUAAGUCGCUUAGUGCACCAGAAUCCAGAAGCACCUAAGAAUGCUAAAGGACAAACAGUGAUAUUUACAGACCGCUCAGGAAUGAAUGCAACAGGCUAUGUUAUGCUAGGAACAAUGGAUGUUCAUCACCAUUGGACCAAAAUUUUUGAGAGGUUACCAAGUUACUCUACACUGCAAAAAAAAGUGCUAUUUCUAGAGGAGCGCAUUAGCCAACUUUUGGGAGGCAUACAAAUAACUUAUGUUGAAGAGCUUCAGCCAAUGUUGACAAUUGAAGAGUAUUACUCUAUUCUUGACAACUUUUAUGAUCAAGUGCAUAAUAAGAGACUUCCAUUUCACCCUAAUAGUCUGCGUGGAUUGCAAAUGAUUCUAGAAAGUGACAGAUAUGCACCAAGUCUUCAUGAACUUGGUCACUUCAUCAUCCCAGUAGUGUGUGAUCUAGUAACUCUCCAGUGGUUUAUCAUGGACAAAAAUCAACAAGCAAGAGAAAAACUGAAAAUAAAAGAAGAGUCCAUACUACUAGAAAAGAAGCUGAUCAAGGCUGCCACAGAAAAAUUUUGUCUUCGACAGCUAUAUAAAGAACCCAGUGUUUCCAGUGCACAGAUGAUUCAUUCAUGCAGCAAUCUAUUAGAAGAAUCAUUGCCAUAUUUGCAAGAACAGUGAAAUAUCCUGCCGAUUUUAAAAUAUUGGACUAAAAGAUGAUUCUGAAGACCAAAAAUAAGAGUUCAGGUGUGAAAAGCAAACUUUACAUUGGUAUGGAAAGAUGGAUAGAGGGAUGACAUAUAAUAUCAAUGAUCACCAAGCAAAUUCUGGAAUAAAACAUCCUGGAAAAGAAUCUGGUUGGCUUAUUCUUUCCUGCAAAGUUUUACUGCUUGUCUCAUUUGUUGCAUGAAUAAAGGACAAAAAAGACAAAAAGAAGUGGUUCUGCUCAGCAAAAUUAUUUAUGGCAGUUAUCUCUAGGAUUGUUAAGGAAGUGAACAAUAAAUAUACACUGUGUUGCAGUUUCAAUAUGUGUAAUGUGUAAAGCAGUGUGAAUGUUUCUCAUGUUUUUAUUUUCAACUUAAAUCUUUUAAACAGUCCUUUGCAUUUUCUUAGGUAUACACAUUUCAAAAUCUAAAAUAAACUGAAUAUGCUUUGCUGAAUUUAUUAAGAAAAAGGGAUAAAAUUAUGCCAGUCUGAGAUUGUAAAGGAUAAGUUACUUAAAAAAAUAGAAGUCUAGCAGAGAUUUUUGAAUAGUGGGGAAACAAAAACCUAAGUAAGUUCACAGCUGAGAACUAAAGAUCACUGUAAAUAUUAAAAAUGAAGCACUUGGCUGAAAUGAAACAUUCAGAUAUCUUAAAUAAUGUAAAUAAAAAUAAAUUGUUGGACAAACUUCUCUACAGCAAACAUUUCAUAAUGAAGGUGUAUGUUGAUAUAAGGUGACUCACAAUAUAAUAAAUUAAAAAACGAACAGUCACAAGUCAUGAAUUUAUGAUCUAUUCUCUCAUGAAGACAAGCUUUGAUUUCACAGUCUGUGAGUUGAGUUUCUUUAGGUUUCUAACCAGGUACAGCUUUUCAGUCAAAAUGUGAGCCUGGAAAUUAAUUACAAGUUUAUAAAAAGGAAAACAAAUAUUAUUAUAUAUCCAUGUUUGUUCCAUAUAAGAUCUGUUGUAUUUUGCACUAUCUUAAAUUUCUGGAUUGUUUUCAAAAGAGCCUGCUCAGCUCGUGAUGAUGGGGUAGUAAUCCAUUUAAUUAGAAAGGCCAAGUAGAAGACUACAGUGAAGUAAUCUAUAUUACUUCCCAAAGACUGUUUCCUGGACAUCAUCAAGUCCUAAGAAGCAAAGUUGCACUGAAGAAGCAGAAAGGCAGCUUGAAACAUGUUUGGAGUAUAAUGAAUUACAGCAUUUUCUGAGCGGUCUGCACAAACACUUCUUGACCAAAAAUAUCUAGUUAAAAUAUAUCUAUAUUUAAUGCAUAAACAAUCCAUUCUGGAAAAUUUAGUUCUAUACAACAACUCAUUAAAGUAUUACUUAAAAUAAAUCUGAUUACUAAUUUUACAAAACUCUUUUUAGGGAUCUGCAAUCACAUGGUUGGAUCAUAAGAUGAGAAAUAGAAAAUCUUGUUUUUAGAGCCAAAAGGUAGUAAAGAAAAAAAUCUGCAGUUAAAAUUUCUGGUGCUUCUAAAUCCAAUAUUCCAAUCAUUGAGAUGUGAUCUUUCCCCAAAAGUUUGUAUUUUUACUGUCACAGCAUUUCAGUUUUUAUUCUGGCUCCACUGAAUGAACAAUCACUUCUGUAUACUUCAUAGAAAUAAAAUAAUUGCAUAUGACUUAUUUUCUAACAUAGUGCAUGAAAGCCAUAGUUUGAAAAUAGUCAGUGAAUAGUAAACUACACAUAUUGUAAUUUAAAAGUUUUACUCUAAAACUAUAAAUAUCAGCACAUUUUUAUUAAGUUGCGCUGUUCUCAAUGGUGCUUAUUCCUUUGUAAGUAUGUUUAGGAGUGCAUCGUAAUCAGCUUUGCUGAUAUUUGUUGUUAUAUUACAAGUAUUUUAUGGAAAGCAAAUAUUCUUAAAACUGCAUUCAACAUAAUUAUUUCCUGCAUUAAAAAGAAAAUUUGGUAAAACAUAAAUGAUCCCCAAAAAUCAGUAGGGCUGGGCUUCAAUGUUUAUCAGAUCAAUUAUUUUCUAAUUGAACUGCAGCUUAUGAAGUUACUUUAAAUACAAGUGUUUAAAAAUAAUUGGAUCCAGAAUUCAGAUCUGUUCUAUGGAGUAACAUUGAAUCCAAUAAUUCACAUAAAUCACCAUCUUAAUGAAAUCUUUAUUCUUUGCAUUGAUUGACAUGUGUGGGACUAUCCCUCUUGAGAUCUCUUUAUAAAAAAGUAUGCAGAUUAUUAAUCAGGAAAUGGGUUUUCACUCCCUUCAGGAAGAAUUUAUUCACAAAUUCACAUUGGUUAAUCAGCUGCAUUGGUUAAUCAGCUGCAAAAUCUCAUGGAUCUAAUCGGAGAUAGACCCUAAUUUUUUUAAUUAGGAUUAAGAUUGUGAAUACUUCACUCCAGGAUUUGAUUUAGAAGUACCCUUUAAUAAUGCUACUUAAAGUGGUUUUGUAAUUGUUUAAGGUUCCUGAUCAUUAACCUGGAUGAACUCUUCUUUGAAGAGUAAAUGUUUUAUUCUAAAAAGAAUAAAUAUGUGAACUAAAGUUCAAGACUCU
Molecule: RNA transcript, 4169 nt
Organism: Thamnophis elegans (Western terrestrial garter snake)
Lineage: Eukaryota; Metazoa; Chordata; Lepidosauria; Squamata; Natricidae
Gene: TCAIM
Gene name: T cell activation inhibitor, mitochondrial
Exons: 13
Source: RefSeq, a predicted model, not a curated record